CUUGCUUUUUGGAUGUUUGUG
This 21-nucleotide non-coding RNA is filed under the name Arabidopsis thaliana (thale cress). Lineage: Eukaryota; Viridiplantae; Streptophyta; Magnoliopsida; Brassicales; Brassicaceae. The record is from RNAcentral.